Molecule: ribosomal RNA, 507 nt
Filed under: Triticum aestivum (bread wheat)
Lineage: Eukaryota; Viridiplantae; Streptophyta; Magnoliopsida; Poales; Poaceae
Description: partial small subunit ribosomal RNA
Source: RNAcentral
AUGGCAAUAAAUGAAGCAAGGGGAUGGUCGGCCAUGCCAGGUAGUACUGAUUACAUGCAUUGGAGGUGGAAAAACUACCCGGUGGCUUGGGCAGGGCAAUACACCGGCCACAAACGCAAACCCACCAUCGUGCUUAAAGCCGUGGCCUCACAUGAUCUAUGGAUUUGGCAUUGCUUCUUUGGUUUGCCAGGGUCUCCCAGUGAUAUCAACGUUUUGCAGCAAUCUCAUUUGUUUGCUCAGCUAGCUAGUAGCAAAGCUCCAACUUGCAGGUAUAUCGUCAACGGCCAUGACUAUAUCACGGGGUACUAUCUUGCCGACGGUAUUUAUCCAUCAUGGUUAACAUUUGCGAAGACCAUUAGUGACCCCAAAACAAACAAGCAUGAUUUUUUUUUUUCAAAGCACAAGAAGCUUGCCGAAAGGAUAUUAAGAGGGCAUUUGGUGUGUUGUAAGCUCGGGUUGCCAUUGUUUGAGGUCCUACUCGCUUUCGAGAUAAAAAAAUCUCUUUGA